Molecule: ribosomal RNA, 685 nt
Filed under: Noviherbaspirillum sp.
Lineage: Bacteria; Pseudomonadati; Pseudomonadota; Betaproteobacteria; Burkholderiales; Oxalobacteraceae
Description: bacterial SSU rRNA
Rfam family: Bacterial small subunit ribosomal RNA
Source: RNAcentral
GCGGACUUCGGUCUGGCGGCGAGUGGCGAACGGGUGAGUAACAUAUCGGAACGUGCCAGGAAGUGGGGGAUAACUAGUCGAAAGAUUAGCUAAUACCGCAUACGCCCCGAGGGGGAAAGUGGGGGAUCGCAAGACCUCACGCUUUUUGAGCGGCCGAUAUCUGAUUAGCUAGUUGGUAGGGUAAAAGCCUACCAAGGCGACGAUCAGUAGCUGGUCUGAGAGGACGACCAGCCACACUGGGACUGAGACACGGCCCAGACUCCUACGGGAGGCAGCAGUGGGGAAUUUUGGACAAUGGGGGCAACCCUGAUCCAGCAAUGCCGCGUGAGUGAAGAAGGCCUUCGGGUUGUAAAGCUCUUUUGUCCGGGAAGAAAUCCCAUCUACUAAUACUGGAUGGGGAUGACGGUACUGGAAGAAUAAGCACCGGCUAACUACGUGCCAGCAGCCGCGGUAAUACGUAGGGUGCAAGCGUUAAUCGGAAUUACUGGGCGUAAAGCGUGCGCAGGCGGUUGUGCAAGACCGAUGUGAAAUCCCCGGGCUUAACCUGGGAACUGCAUUGGUGACUGCACGGCUAGAGUGUGUCAGAGGGGGGUAGAAUUCCACGUGUAGCAGUGAAAUGCGUAGAGAUGUGGAGGAAUACCGAUGGCGAAGGCAGCCCCCUGGGAUAACACUGACGCUCAUGCAC